Molecule: ribosomal RNA, 767 nt
Filed under: uncultured bacterium
Lineage: Bacteria
Description: bacterial SSU rRNA
Rfam family: Bacterial small subunit ribosomal RNA
Source: RNAcentral
GUAACCUGCCUCAAAGAGGGGGAUAGCCUCCCGAAAGGGAGAUUAAUACCGCAUGACAAAUAUAAUCCGCAUGGAUUAUAUUUUAAAGGAGAAAUCCGCUUUGAGAUGGACCCGCGGCGCAUUAGCUAGUUGGCAGGGUAACGGCCUACCUAGGCGACGAUGCGUAGCCGACCUGAGAGGGUGAACGGCCACAUUGGAACUGAGAGACGGUCCAGACUCCUACGGGAGGCAGCAGUGGGGAAUAUUGUACAAUGGGCGAAAGCCUGAUGCAGCAACGCCGCGUGAGUGAAGAAGGUUUUCGGAUUGUAAAGCUCUGUCAUCUGGACGAUAAUGACGGUACCAGAUGAGGAAGCCACGGCUAACUACGUGCCAGCAGCCGCGGUAAUACGUAGGUGGCAAGCGUUGUCCGGAAUUACUGGGCGUAAAGGGUGCGCAGGCGGACAUUUAAGUGAGAUGUGAAAUACCCGGGCUUAACCCGGGCAGUGCAUUUCAAACUGGGUGUCUGGAGUGCAGGAGAGGAGAACGGAAUUCCUAGUGUAGCGGUGAAAUGCGUAGAGAUUAGGAAGAACACCAGUGGCGAAGGCGGUUCUCUGGACUGUAACUGACGCUGAGGCACGAAAGCGUGGGUAGCAAACAGGAUUAGAUACCCUGGUAGUCCACGCCGUAAACGAUGAGUACUAGGUGUAGGAGGUAUCGACCCCUUCUGUGCCGCAGUAAACACUAUAAGUACUCCGCCUGGGAAGUACGAUCGCAAGAUUAAAACUCAA